UGGGUCGGCAAGACGGUCGCGGCAGUUUACUGACGAGGAACGUCCGGGCUCCAGAGAGCAAAAUGGUGGGUAACGCCCACCCGGGGUAACCCGAGAGAUAGUGCAACAGAAAGCAAACCGCCGAGCAAUCGGUAAGGGUGAAACGGUGGUGUAAGAGACCACCAGCGAUUCAAGUGAUUGAAUCGGCUAGGUAAACCUCAUUUGGAGCAAGAUCAAACAGUGAACGCUUGAGGGCUGCUCGCCCGAGUUC
RNAcentral lists this RNase P RNA (250 nucleotides) under Actinomycetota bacterium. Its description in RNAcentral is "Actinobacteria bacterium partial RNase P RNA component class A". It matches the Rfam family "Bacterial RNase P class A", at positions 1 to 266 of the family's 367-position model. From Rfam's summary of the family: Ribonuclease P (RNase P) is a ubiquitous endoribonuclease, found in archaea, bacteria and eukarya as well as chloroplasts and mitochondria. Its best characterised activity is the generation of mature 5'-ends of tRNAs by cleaving the 5'-leader elements of precursor-tRNAs. The record is from RNAcentral. Lineage: Bacteria; Bacillati; Actinomycetota.